This is a non-coding RNA of Cherax quadricarinatus, 416 nucleotides long. Lineage: Eukaryota; Metazoa; Arthropoda; Malacostraca; Decapoda; Parastacidae. The record is from RefSeq and is a predicted model, not a curated record.
UCGCGAGUUAAGUAUGUCAUUGACAAAUACACUUUGUUAAUGGUGAAUAUUAUUGGAAUGGUCAAUGUUUUGGUUGUGAUCAUAUGGCGGAGGAAAAUAAAACAGCAACAUCUUGCCAUGAUAGUUUUUUGCUAGUACUCAUGUUGUUAAUACAUAUAAAACGGCUGGAAAUAUCUACCGAGUGAACAGAUUUGCCAGGUUUCCUGGCCAGUGGAACAUAGAAGACAUUCCUGCCUCAACACUGAUGCCCUGACACAGAUAAAAAGCAAAGUGACGAGAGUAACAAAAAAUCUAAGCUACAAAAGAUUGGAUUCCAGAUUGGAAGAAGGGAGCAUGGAGUAAGUAAAUAUAUUCAGAUAUUUCGGAGUGGACUAGUAGGUAGAUAGGCCUAUAAAAGAUGGGGUGAACCGUAGAAU